RNAcentral lists this transfer RNA (72 nucleotides) under Camelus bactrianus (Bactrian camel). It matches the Rfam family "tRNA". Rfam says of the family: Transfer RNA (tRNA) molecules are approximately 80 nucleotides in length. The record is from Rfam by way of RNAcentral. RNAcentral also lists the same sequence under 1 other name. Lineage: Eukaryota; Metazoa; Chordata; Mammalia; Artiodactyla; Camelidae.
GGAGGUAUGGCUCAGUGGUAGAGCACAUGCUUAGCAGGCACAAAGUCCUGGGUUCAAUCCCCAGUACUUCCA